Molecule: non-coding RNA, 150 nt
Organism: Caenorhabditis elegans
Lineage: Eukaryota; Metazoa; Nematoda; Chromadorea; Rhabditida; Rhabditidae
Source: Ensembl
GUCGUUGCUCUUUUCCACACUGAAUACUGCCUGUUUCGUGUCUCCUUGUGCUCAAUAGCUCAUGGAGUACGUAGUGAGAAAAACGACGAAGACGACGACGAAGAAGAAGAAGGAGAAGAAGAGGCGAGAGAAGGGCUCUUGGAGCAAAAG